UAAUCGGCAGUCUGCUGCUCGCUCUAAAGAGAGAAAGGCACGAUAUAUACUAGAACUUGAGCGCAAAGUUCAGACCCUUCAAACAGAAGCCACCACUCUUUCUGCUCAACUCACCUUGUACCAGAGAGACACUACAGGGCUGAGUACAGAAAACACAGAGCUUAAGCUUCGGUUACAAGCUAUGGAGCAACAGGCUCAGUUGCGUGAUGCUCUGAAUGAGGCUCUGAAGAAAGAAGUUGAGAGGCUCAAGAUUGCCACUGGGGAAACAAUGAGCCCCUCUGAGUCAUUCAACUUGGGAAUGCAUCAAAUACCAUAUGCCCCAGCAAACUAUUUCCCACUUCCACAACAACCAGGACCUGCCAGUCAUCCAAACAUGCAGUUGCCACCAUUUUCACAUUCUCAACAUAAUAUGCCAGCUCACCAUCUUCAUCAAACACAUUCCCAUGCAGUCUCGGAAAUUAUGAAAAAUGAUCCACUUGGCCGAUUACAGGGGCUUGAUAUCAGUAGCAAAGGACCAAAUAUUGUAAAAUCAGAAGGCCCCUCGCUUUCUG
RNAcentral lists this unclassified non-coding RNA (551 nucleotides) under Hevea brasiliensis (rubber tree). Lineage: Eukaryota; Viridiplantae; Streptophyta; Magnoliopsida; Malpighiales; Euphorbiaceae. The record is from RNAcentral.